CUAGACAGCCAUAUUACCCUGAUGCACCCGAUCUCCUCUAAUAUCAGAAGUUACGCAGAGUCAGGCCUGGUAAAUAUUUGGGAGACACAUCUUUAAAACCAAAUUUCCUUUUACA
This is a ribosomal RNA of Cricetulus griseus (Chinese hamster), 115 nucleotides long. The record is from Ensembl. Lineage: Eukaryota; Metazoa; Chordata; Mammalia; Rodentia; Cricetidae.